AUGUUGAGAUUUGGGCAGCAUCUCAUCAAGCCCUCUGUGGUCUUCCUGAAGACGGAGCUCUCCUUUGCUCUUGUGAACCGGAAGCCAGUCGUCCCAGGGCGUAUCCUUUCAACCAGAGCCUCAAUCAUGAGCGCGUAUGGGCCGUUCAGCGUUCUGUGGAAAAGUGGGAGAUACUCUGCACGUUCUGAAGGCCAGCCCAGUUACCAACUGAGGAAGCCAGCCACAGGAAUACCUGUUAUUUGUAUCAUGAUAAAGUGUAAUGGUCCAAACCAAAUGCUUGAGUUUCAUCACAUUUGUGGUCUAAAAGAGCAACCAUUUGACAGCUGUAGAGCACCCUAUCCUGUUUAUCUUCAUUGAGGAAAAAGCAGCAGAGCAGGAGAUGAAUAUGGAUAUCGGCAUUUUC
This 403-nucleotide long non-coding RNA is filed under the name Apteryx rowi (Okarito brown kiwi). RNAcentral describes it as "lncRNA (ENSARWG00000001958.1)". The record is from RNAcentral. Lineage: Eukaryota; Metazoa; Chordata; Aves; Apterygiformes; Apterygidae.